This 250-nucleotide ribosomal RNA is filed under the name uncultured Bacillus sp. RNAcentral describes it as "partial 16S ribosomal RNA". It matches the Rfam family "Bacterial small subunit ribosomal RNA", at positions 524 to 773 of the family's 1533-position model. The record is from RNAcentral. Lineage: Bacteria; Bacillati; Bacillota; Bacilli; Caryophanales; Bacillaceae.
UACGUAGGUGGCAAGCGUUAUCCGGAAUUAUUGGGCGUAAAGCGCUCGCAGGCGGUCUUUUAAGUCUGAUGUGAAAGCCCACGGCUCAACCGUGGAGGGUCAUUGGAAACUGGGAGACUUGAGUGCAGAAGAGGAGAGUGGAAUUCCACGUGUAGCGGUGAAAAGCGUAGAGAUGUGGAGGAACACCAGUGGCGAAGGCGACUCUCUGGUCUGUAACUGACGCUGAGGAGCGAAAGCGUGGGGAGCGAAC